RNAcentral lists this long non-coding RNA (427 nucleotides) under Gossypium raimondii (Peruvian cotton). RNAcentral's name for it is "long non-coding RNA (GRAI_LNC008669)". The record is from RNAcentral. Lineage: Eukaryota; Viridiplantae; Streptophyta; Magnoliopsida; Malvales; Malvaceae.
CCCAAUCGGCAGCCGAGCUACUCCAGCAGCCUCCCUAGGCCAUGAUUGCUCCACUGCCACCUGCAAACAAAGAGGAAGAAGACAAAAUUGGGGGGUUAAAAAGAAAAAUUGAAGAGAAGAAAGGGGGCAAGCAAUAAAAAAAAGAGCAAACAACAGAAGCAAAAAAAAUUCAAAACAGCAGCAGCUCCUUCCGUCACACCAGCGCCACCGUGCCCACCACCGCAGCACCACCAUCGCCUACACUUAGCAAAGCAAGCAAGAAUCCGAAAAAAACAACAAGCAAAAUCCAAAAGAAAAAAGAAAGAAAACCCAAAAAGAAAGAGUCAAAGAAGCAGCAGCCAAUAGCCAAAUUUAGAGGAGGAGAAAAUGCUUACCUUUGAGCCGUCGGCCACUGAGUGAGGAGAGAAGCUGAGGACGACCACGGCGG